GGUCGCCUAGCUCAGCUGGUUAGAGCGUGGUGCUAAUAUCUUCUGUUGAAUCAGAUUGAUUAAACGCCAAGGUCGCGGGUUCGAUCCCCGUGGUGAUCA
RNAcentral lists this transfer RNA (99 nucleotides) under Sclerotinia borealis F-4128. It matches the Rfam family "tRNA". From Rfam's summary of the family: Transfer RNA (tRNA) molecules are approximately 80 nucleotides in length. Their secondary structure includes four short double-helical elements and three loops (D, anti-codon, and T loops). Further hydrogen bonds mediate the characteristic L-shaped molecular structure. tRNAs have two regions of fundamental functional importance: the anti-codon, which is responsible for specific mRNA codon recognition, and the 3' end, to which the tRNAs corresponding amino acid is attached (by aminoacyl-tRNA synthetases). tRNAs cope with the degeneracy of the genetic code in two manners: having more than one tRNA (with a specific anti-codon) for a particular amino acid; and 'wobble' base-pairing, i.e. permitting non-standard base-pairing at the 3rd anti-codon position. The record is from Rfam by way of RNAcentral. Lineage: Eukaryota; Fungi; Ascomycota; Leotiomycetes; Helotiales; Sclerotiniaceae.